Molecule: small nuclear RNA, 155 nt
Filed under: Cryptosporidium parvum
Lineage: Eukaryota; Apicomplexa; Conoidasida; Eucoccidiorida; Cryptosporidiidae
Source: RNAcentral
GAGAGGAAAACGGUGAGUUUGGAGUAAAAUAGGCAAGAUAAUAAAGGUAUUUGUUUUCAAUUCUGUCUAAAGUUACCGUUUUUUGCUCUGGGUUUAAGAAUUAAUUGUUGAGCUAUAAGCAAAUUACCUCAUUGAUGAAAGUUUAAGAGGAUAGA